UCGAAGAUAAAAUAUUUGCAACAUAAGUUAAUUGUUCUAUUUGCAACAUAAAAUAGAAUAGGCUAAUGGUUCUGAUUCCUGAGUCAUACCGGGAAAAACUGAGAAAUGUUUAGUACAUCGAUAUUGUUAUAACUUCAAAAGGUGGCAUUCAAUCGAACUCAAGAUAUCAUAGGAGGCCUCCACAUCAUAGUCCAUCCAUAAUGCCUUAUAAGGCAGUGCGGACACAAAACAUCGAGGCAAUUCAGAAUAAGAGGUCCUGCUCCUGCAAGAUUAUUCGAUUUGAGUUAGCUCAAGAAACGUGUUUAGUAAACAAUGAUGUAUUACAGUAAUGAUAAAAAGAAGCUUAUAUAUUUGACCUAUCUUAUUAGAGAGCAUGAUUAACUUAUAUACAGUUAAAAGGCUGAUCUAGAACUUGUAAGCAACUUUUGCAUAUCAGCCGCAUUCCAUAUACAUUUCAUUGCUUCAACGGGCAAAUGAAAUCCUGGAUAUAUGAGAAUCAUGCAGUCAUAAUAUCAUAAAAAAAUUAAUAAACACGUACAUCUGGGUGGUGCCAUCAGGUGAAGGCCUCUUAAAUAUAGUCGAUCGGAGAUGCAAGGACGAUGACAUUGGUAUACUUGUGUUUUUAUUGCACUAACAAUAUCAAUUUUGAGGUACUUCUAGAACUCCCGAAGAUUAUGGUUUUAUGGACCCUCUUGGCGGUUUCACCGCACAAAGGCGUUGAGGAUUUGCAUUCUAAUCUCUCAAUACAGAUCAUCCCCGGAACACAAAUUGUAAGAAAAAACGCUUUAGAGAUAUAGUAGUCCUGCUGCUCCCCACUCAUCGAAUAAAUAAUAUAUUUUCUCCUUCUGUACCUGAUGCUUUCAAAAAUGAAAGAAUUGGAGAGCUGCAAGUGAGUGAGCUUAUGAGUGCAUAAGCAUGAUGCAGCUACUAAACCUUGAAAAAGAAACUUCAGAUUUACAAUGCAGCUACUAAACCUUGAAAAAGAAACUUCAGAUUUAAGAUAGUACGAUUUAGAAGGUCUAAAGUGUAGCACUGAUGGAAACAUUACACUGCAGGCUACCAUCAUAAAUAAUCCUGAGUUUACAACAAAAUUAAAAUCUGAGGAUUAAAAUGGAAAUAUAUUGUGGAAAAUAAAAAUUACUUUGUUUAUUGGCACCUUAUUACAGACUGGUCCCUAUUAGGAUGGGAAGACCUAUAGGAAAAAAAAGUACAUCCAAGUACUAACAUCAUUGGUAAAUGAUAAUACAUAGCCUAAUAUUGACUGUUGGGUGGUAUGAUCAUUCCAUUUUUCAGUGCAUAUAUGAUAUAUCGAUAAUUGCCUUCUUCUCUUUUAAAUUUGAUAAUUUUCUCAGUGUAACUGUACUAAGUUAACAUAUCUUCUCACACUAAUAAUGAGCACCGUGUCUUCCAAAUUAAAAUGACAUUUUUCACAAUCACCAUUGGUCCAUCAGUCCGUUCCUAAAUCCUAAUUAUGUAUAGACAAAAUAAAAAGGGAAUAAAGCAUCUAUAGUACUUACCUGGAGCCCUAUAACAUUGAUUCUGCCACACUGAUUCUUGCAAGAGCAGAAGGUGCUAGCCUUUUGACAGGGGAAAUGUGCAAGAUAAAUAAACCUCAACAUGUGUAUCAGGAAAUGGCAAUUCAGAGUUCUAUUCAGUAUUUUGGGUAACAGCAGGUUCCACCAUCCUUAUAACUACCCAUGACUGUUUUUGUCUCUAGCAUGACCAAUUGAUAAAAUGUGGAGGAAAGUAGGGGAAAUGGCCGAUACUGCUAGAAGAAUUCCUCUUUGCCUGAUAGGUACUGUAGCUGGUAUUGCUGUGAUUGGUUUAGUAGGUGUUUUCUUUUAUGGUUCAUAUUCUGGAUUGGGUUCAUCUCUAUAGUAAUCGGAGGGACCAGAUUGUAAACAUGAAAAAGUAGGAGCUUAACGGGUCCUUACCCCCCUUUAUCUAAUUAGAGCGGAAAGGACCCGCGGAAUUUUUACUCUUAACGCGAAUUGAAUCUAUUCGAUUCACUCUUAUGAAGCAACAAGAAAAAGAGAUCACUCGAGGAUCCAAUAUCUUAUUCCACAAAGGAAGUAAGAGUAAUUAAUCGUUGUUGUUUCAAGGUUAAUCUAUUUAUUCGUCUCGAUAAUAUUUUUCCUUGUUCACUAAUAAAUCUAUUAAUGAAACUCAUGUUUCUAUAAUCAAUUCGAUCUCCCGGGCCAAUCUGGGGACGCCUACGAAAAGGUUGUUUAGAUUUAUGAAAAGGUUGCUUGAAUUUACGAAAAGUUUGCUUGGGUUUACGAAAGGGUUGCUUGGAUUUAUUAAAAGUUUGCUUGGAUUUACUAAAGGGUUGCUUAGAUUUAAGAAAAGGUUGUUUAGAUGUAUACAUGAUUUAUUCCUUAUUUAAAAUUUGAAAAUUCACUUCUUUAUUUUAUUAAUUUAGGAUCCAGAAGAAGUAGUUUUUUUUUGAUCCAUAUCUUAUUUGAUUCAUAUUAUAGUAUACGAAUACCCUCUAUACAUAUGAAAUAAUAUCUACCGGAAAUCAGAUGAGUUGAUUUGUAUUUUGUAUUCUAUACUAUGUUUUCUUUAUAUAUUAAAUAUGAAGUUCUUACUCUUUUUGUUGUUUGGAAAGAUCGAACACACGAUGUUCCUAUUUCUUUAUUUCGUGUGAGUCGUAUGCUUGCGACAAUAACGACAUAAUUUUUUGAAUUCUAAUUGUCCGGGUAUAUUGUGGCGAUUCUUUUGAGUACUAUAUCUAGAAAUCCCUGUCGAUUCCUCAUUGGCACCUUUUCGAACACAACUGAUGCAUUCCAAAAUAACUCUGAUUCUAACAUCUUUUCCCUUGGCCAUGAACCUCCUUUUCUUUUUGGAUUGACUUAUAGUGUCAGGCAAUGCACGUACUGUUUAGAAAAGAGCAUAUUCAUCACUUUACUUGAUAGAUUCAGUCAAGCAAACAAAAUUAUGAAUCCAAGAAAGAAAACACACCUACUACGUCCACUGAUCCACCAAAAC
Molecule: long non-coding RNA, 2991 nt
Filed under: Triticum aestivum (bread wheat)
Lineage: Eukaryota; Viridiplantae; Streptophyta; Magnoliopsida; Poales; Poaceae
Description: long non-coding RNA (TAES_LNC020111)
Source: RNAcentral